This 279-nucleotide ribosomal RNA is filed under the name uncultured bacterium. RNAcentral's name for it is "partial 16S ribosomal RNA". It matches the Rfam family "Bacterial small subunit ribosomal RNA", at positions 506 to 784 of the family's 1533-position model. The record is from RNAcentral.
UGCCAGCAGCCGCGGUAAUACAGAGGGUGCAAGCGUUAAUCGGAGUUAUUGGGCGUAAAGGGUGCGUAGGCGGAUGUAUAAGUUAGAUGUGAAAGCCCUGGGCUUAACCUGGGAAUUGCAUUUAAAACUGUAUAUCUAGAGUAGAGUAGAGGUAAGCGGAAUUUCCGGUGUAGCGGUGAAAUGCGUAGAUAUCGGAAGGAACACCUGUGGCGAAGGCGGCUUACUGGGCUCAGAAUGACGCUGAGGCACGAACGCGUGGGGAGCGAACAGGAUUAGAUA